UGGGUAUUCGCCAAAUCGGUAAGGCAACGGACUCUGAAUCCGUAAUUUGUAGGUUCGAGCCCUACAUACCCAACUA
Molecule: transfer RNA, 76 nt
Filed under: Bombilactobacillus mellifer
Lineage: Bacteria; Bacillati; Bacillota; Bacilli; Lactobacillales; Lactobacillaceae
Description: Lactobacillus mellifer tRNA-Gln
Rfam family: tRNA
About the family: Transfer RNA (tRNA) molecules are approximately 80 nucleotides in length. Their secondary structure includes four short double-helical elements and three loops (D, anti-codon, and T loops).
Source: RNAcentral